RNAcentral lists this long non-coding RNA (882 nucleotides) under Homo sapiens (human). RNAcentral describes it as "HSALNT0284481". Lineage: Eukaryota; Metazoa; Chordata; Mammalia; Primates; Hominidae. The record is from RNAcentral.
AUCCUAAAAAGAUGUGUUUUCUAGGAAAUUUAUGAAAAAGUCCCUGACAAUCAUACUUUUGAGUAUAAGUUUUGGGUAACUUUGAAGAUUAUACUAUUGGACUAGGUAAAAACUUCCAGAAUACUAAUUUUAGAAAUCCCUGAUGGAUUCAUAAAGAUUGCCAAAUCAAUAUCGAGCAGAACAAGAAUUAUAUACAUGGUGUUAAACUUAUGGGGAAACAUUGAUGAUUCGUAUUAUAUUUUGCUUUCCAGAUUGAAGAAAACAUUUUUAUCCCAGCUAUGUAUAGCUUACAACUGGGACACAACUGAAGACAAUACUUAUUUUUACCAAGGAUUUGAUUGGAACUUUAUACUUUAAAAUGUGAUCAGACUGCUUUUAAUAAUUGACAUUGACUUUAUAAAGCCAAUAGAUGUAGAAAAAGACAGCUUGUACCUUGUCUACAUGGCUUUUUUUUACCGGACUCCUGAUCUUGUCGUAAGGAAAGAAUGUCACUUUCUAGCAGGUGAGAACCUCAAGAUCUAUGGAAAACUCCAAGAAAAAAAAUUUACCCAAUACACACAGGCAUUACAGGCACAAUCUGUUAUGAAAUCCUUGGCUUGGCUCUUCAGGCUCAAGAGGCUUUUGAAAGUCUAACUUGAGACAGGAGGUGGAGUAAGAUGGCUGAAUAGAAGCCAGCAGCAAUUAUCUUACUAUAGUCACACCAAAGUGAACAAUUGUACACACAAGAAAGCACCUUUAUAAGAACCAAGAAAGAAUCAGGUGAGUGAUCACAGUAUUUGGUUUUAACAUAAUAUCAAGGAAAGAGUAACUGAAAAGGGCAGAAAAGACAAUUUUGUAUUGCCUACACAAUCCUUCCCCCUUCCCCAAGGAGCGUGAAAAGAG